RNAcentral lists this ribosomal RNA (446 nucleotides) under uncultured bacterium. RNAcentral's name for it is "partial 16S ribosomal RNA". It matches the Rfam family "Bacterial small subunit ribosomal RNA", at positions 338 to 795 of the family's 1533-position model. The record is from RNAcentral.
CCUACGGGUGGCAGCAGUCGAGAAUCAUUCACAAUGGGGGAAACCCUGAUGGUGCGACGCCGCGUGGGGGAAUGAAGGUCUUCGGAUUGUAAACCCCUGUCAUGUGGGAGCAAAUAAAAAAGAUAGUAGCACAAGAGGAAGAGACGGAUCAAUCUGUGCCAGCAGCCGCGGUACUACAGAGGUCUCAAGCGUUGUUCGGAAUCACUGGGCGUACAGCGUGCGUAGGCUGUGUAGUAAGUAGUGUGUGAAAGGCGCGGGCCCAACCCGCGGACGGCACAUGAUACUGCGAGACUAGAGUAAUGGAGGGGGAACCGGAAUUCUUGGUGUAGCAGUGAAAUGCGUAGAUAGUGAGAGGAACACUCGUGGCGAAGGCGGGUUCCUGGACAUUAACUGACGCUGAGGCACGAAGGCCAGGGGAGCGAAAGGGAUUAGAUACCCGGGUAGUC